AAAAUGUUUGGAACCAUUGUCCCGUCUUGACGUUUUAGACGAUAAGUUUCUGACUUAAUCUCCUCCUCGAAGAUAUAGCUAGGGACCUUCGAAGUUGGUUGAUAGCUUGCUUAUAGGUCUAUUCCUUUGUGUGAUACUUGUCUUGCGCGUGAUGAGGGAUCGUGGUAAGAAGGCUUUAGCCCGAACGUGUCGAUCGUGAUAUCGUGCCACGUUAGUCUUAUAUGCUUCGUUAUGCAGAUCGGUCUUGUAUCGCAUGUCUCUUCCCUGAGUUAAAGGUCAGUGGAUAAAUAUCAUGAUUGGUUGGUCGCUUUGUUUUUUAAUUUUUUUUUGUUUGGUAGUCGAAUUGCAAAAUUUUUAAAAAAAUUACGAAAUAUUAAGUGACCAAUUAAUUGGUAGCUUUGUUUUUUAAUUUUAAAUAUGACCAAUUAUUGUAUUUUAUUUUUAUAUAUUUUUAAUUGUGUCCGAAUUGAAUUACGAAAUAUUUUUUUAAUUGCGAAUUGCCUUUUUAUUUUAUUUUUAAUUCAAGUUGGUCGCUUUGUUUUUUAAUUUUUUUUGUUGGGUUGUCGAAUUACAAUUUUUAAAAAAAAUUACGAAAUAUUUAAACGUCUAACUAGUUGGUCGCUUUGUUUAUUUAUUUUAUUUUUAAUGAGGCGAUUGUAUUUUAUUUUAAUAUAUUUUUUAAUUCAGGCGACGGAGAGUUGCAAUUAUUUUAAAAAAUCUUUUUUUUUUUAAUUCAGGCGACUAAUUCAAUUGGUCGCUUUGUUUUUUAAUUUAAUUCAGGAUAACUGUAGAAACUAGAAAGGUGUACUCUGAAGUUCUAUCACAAUGGAUCAACAAGAGAUUUUGUUAUUAGAUAUAUCUAAC
This 864-nucleotide long non-coding RNA is filed under the name Zostera marina. RNAcentral describes it as "long non-coding RNA (ZMAR_LNC000009)". Lineage: Eukaryota; Viridiplantae; Streptophyta; Magnoliopsida; Alismatales; Zosteraceae. The record is from RNAcentral.